RNAcentral lists this ribosomal RNA (2312 nucleotides) under Protosporangium articulatum. RNAcentral describes it as "SSU rRNA". It matches the Rfam family "Eukaryotic small subunit ribosomal RNA". The record is from RNAcentral. Lineage: Eukaryota; Evosea; Eumycetozoa; Protosporangiidae.
AAAGAUUAAGCCAUGCAUGUCUAAGUUUAAAUAGAAUCUAUUGUGAAACUGCGAAUGGCUCAUUAAAUCAGUUAUAGUCUAUUUGAUAAAACAAUACUACUUGGAUAACCGUAGUAAAUCUAGAGCUAAUACAUGAGAAAAAGCAGAUUUCGGUCUGCCGUAUUUAUUAGGUAAAAAGACCAGUCUUCCUUUACGGGAAGCCUUUUGGUCAYUCAUAGUAACUGAACUAAUCGCAUGGCUUUAAUGCCAGUGAUGAUUCAUUCGAAUUUCUGCCCUAUUAACUUUUGAUGGUAAGGUAUUUGCUUACCAUGGUUUCUAUGGGUGACGGGGAAUUAGGGUUCGAUUCCGGAGAGGGCGCAUUUAGAUAUGGCGACCACUUCCAAGGAAGGCAGCAGGCGCGCAAAUUACCCAAUUCAGACUCUGAGAGGUAGUGAAGAUAAAUAACUAUAUUAGACCAUUUAUUGGUUUGAUAAUAGGAAUGAUUACAGUUUAAAAGCCUUAAAAAGUAGCAAUUGGAGGACAAGUCUGGUGCCAGCACCCGCGGYAAUUCCAGCUCCAAUAGUAUAUAUUAAAGUUGUUGCAGUUAAAAAGCUCGUAGUUGGAUACAGGGUCUAUUAGGUGUGAYUCAGACACUUGGUUUGAGUUCUUCGAAUGAAAGCCUUGUGUCUGGCACCAAAUAGACUUUUGCAUAAGAACAAAUGCCUACUAGAUUGUGGACGGGUGUCCUUAACUGGUCACUCGAUCAAAAUGUGGUAAUAAGUUUAAAUUGGAUUCGUCCUUUUUAGGCUUUUUUGUCACAUCCGCACUAGUUCAUUUACUGUGAGAAAAUUAGAGUGUUUAAAGCAGGCUUAUUUAGUAGCCUUGAAUAUUUCAGCAUGGGAUAAUGGAACAAGACACAGGCUUUUCUAUUGGUCUAAAAGCCUAAACUUAUCGUGUAAUGAUUAAUAGGAGCAGUUGGGGGCAUUAAUAUUUAAAGGUUAGAGGUGAAAUUCUUGGAUUCUUUAAAGAUUAUCUGGUGCGAAAGCGUUUGCCAAAUAUGUUUUCAUUAAUCAAGAACGAAAGUUAGGGGAUCGAAAAUGAUCAGAUACCGUUGUAGUCCUAACUAUAAAUUAUGACGACCUGCGAUUGAAAGACGUUAAUUAUAAUAGACUCUUCCAGCAGCAAAUAAGAAAUUAGRGUGUUUGGUUUCUGGGGGGAGUAUGGUCGCAAGACUGAAACUUAAAGGAAUUGACGGAGGAAUACACCACGAAGUGGAGCCUGCGGCUUAAUUUGACUCAACACGGGAAAACUUACCAGGUCCAGAUAAUUGUAUGAUUGACAGACUUAAGCUCUUUCUUGAUUAAUUAAGUGGUGGUGCAUGGCCGUUCUUAGUUGGUGGAGCGAUUUGUCUACUUAAUUGUGAUAACGAACGAGACCUAAACCUAUUAAAUAAUUCGAGGUAUGCUAGUCGCAAAAGGCAGGUUUCCUCUUCGAUYUGUGGCUCUAGGGGUGCGAAUCUCUAGGGCAUAAAAACGCAGGUCGAGGUCAGGGGCUUGUUGGCAGCGUAUCUUAAAGGUGCCCAAAAGCGCCUUUUUUCACGAGAGUUUCUUAGAGGGACAAUUGAUUCAUAGUCAGUGGAAGAUUUAGGCAAUAACAGGUUAAAAAUACACAGGCCUGUAAAAGGCUUUCAAAGCCUAGUUCAAGCUAAUAUAUUAGCUUGAGCAACACCAGAAAAUUGCUGGAACUUUCUUGCUCAAAAUAGCACUACAUACUGGACCCAUGGUCAGCUCAGAGUAUUAAAACUCUGUAGUAGAGUGAAAAUUGUAGUGAAAAAUGCAGGAUUAACCAGCAUCCAAGCGAGUUUCAAACUCGUGCUGUUCACRGACUCAAUUUUGGUGGGCAAAUUGCGCAGGAUUCAAAGCCUGUUUAUUUGCUUGAGAUAGAGCCRAGACAAUCUGUCUAAAAUAGAUUGAAUAAUCUGCUGUGAUGCCCUUCGAUGUUCUGRGCCGCACGCGUGCUACAAUGAUGGUCUCAGCGAGUAAAAAUGUGCAUUUUCCUUCACUGAAAAGUGUAGGUAAUCUGUUCAAAAGCCAUCGUAACUGGGAUAGAGCCUUGAAAUUAUUGCUCKUCAACGAGGAAUUUCUAGUAAGCAUAAUUCAUCACAUUGUGUUGAAUACGUCCCUAUYUCUUGUUCACACCGCCCGUCGCUGCUACCGAUUGAAUGGUCCGGUGAAAGCCUCGGAUUCGCACGUAUUUGCUUCGCAAGUUGCAUUAACGCGUGGAGAAGUCGCCUGAACCUUAUCAUUUAGAGGAAGCAGAAGUCGUAACAAGGU